This 253-nucleotide ribosomal RNA is filed under the name uncultured bacterium. RNAcentral's name for it is "partial 16S ribosomal RNA". It matches the Rfam family "Bacterial small subunit ribosomal RNA", at positions 524 to 776 of the family's 1533-position model. The record is from RNAcentral.
UACGAAGGGGGCUAGCGUUGCUCGGAAUCACUGGGCGUAAAGGGUGCGUAGGCGGUGCUUUAAGUCAGGGGUGAAAUCCUGGAGCUCAACUCCAGAACUGCCUUUGAUACUGAAGAUCUUGAGUCCGGGAGAGGUGAGUGGAACUGCGAGUGUAGAGGUGAAAUGCGCAGAUAUCAGGAAGAACACCCGUGGCGAAGGCGGUUCUCUGGGACGGUACUGACGCUGAGACGCGAAAGCGUGGGGAGCGAACAGG